GGAGUUUGUGUGGGGAAAAGGAUGGCUCUGGUCACAAGGAAACAGCAGCAGGCAACACCUGAGGAGACUUCACAGCUACUGUGGGAUAAAUUGCAGCAUGAUCAGAGAUAUGGAUCAGAUGAGCACAGAAAGCUGGUGAGGAAGACAGCAGGUGAAUAGUAAGAUACAAAAACUGGAGCAAAAAUGGGUGUUAUUAAAGUGAAUCAAAGUAACAACUGGAUUGGCAAGUACACAGGUAGAUUAUCUAUGAUUCACGAACCUGUAUUAUUUUUAAAAUGUCAUUAGGCAGGCAAUGAGUACAUGGAGAUGCUAG
RNAcentral lists this long non-coding RNA (313 nucleotides) under Manacus vitellinus (golden-collared manakin). Its description in RNAcentral is "lncRNA (ENSMVIG00005006714.1)". Lineage: Eukaryota; Metazoa; Chordata; Aves; Passeriformes; Pipridae. The record is from RNAcentral.